This 71-nucleotide transfer RNA is filed under the name bacterium. RNAcentral describes it as "tRNA-Pro". It matches the Rfam family "tRNA". Rfam says of the family: Transfer RNA (tRNA) molecules are approximately 80 nucleotides in length. Their secondary structure includes four short double-helical elements and three loops (D, anti-codon, and T loops). Further hydrogen bonds mediate the characteristic L-shaped molecular structure. tRNAs have two regions of fundamental functional importance: the anti-codon, which is responsible for specific mRNA codon recognition, and the 3' end, to which the tRNAs corresponding amino acid is attached (by aminoacyl-tRNA synthetases). tRNAs cope with the degeneracy of the genetic code in two manners: having more than one tRNA (with a specific anti-codon) for a particular amino acid; and 'wobble' base-pairing, i.e. permitting non-standard base-pairing at the 3rd anti-codon position. The record is from RNAcentral.
CGGAGUGUCGUAUAGUGGUAGUAUACACGCUUCGGGUGUGUGUGGUCUGGGUUCGAUUCCCAGCACUCCGA